CUGAUGAUGCUCAAAAGGUCAUCAUUGGGCUUUUUAUCAUAAACUAAAAUCUGGCAAGUCCUGAUUUGCUCUCUCUAUGGUUUUUUUGUUCGGUUUUUGUUCAUCAUGAAAUAUUUUCCUUCAAUGAGUGUCGCAUAAACGCAAGCCUUGGUGUUUGCAGACGGUCAUGGAAUCUCAGCUGAUAGUGUACAGAACAUCCGAACAAAAUUUCUCUUAAGGGUCUGCUUACUGGCCAAGAUCGGGUGAUAGUGGGGAAGUUACAACAAAUGAUCUGCUUCUAGGCAUUUGGUCAGAAGUGGAAUCCCCCGGCCACAGGAUACUUGUUUCCCUCGGCUUCAAUUAUGAGAAAGCCAAAGAACUUGAGGCUUCAAGUUUUGGACCUGGGUUUCUUGAUGGAUGAUACCUUCCACGUUCUUGAUGACCAUUGAUGUAAUUUUUGUAUUUGGACAUGGCUGUUUUGAGCUCCUUGACUGAAAUUGCAAACCUCACAAUUCAUGGAUGGCCGUGUAAGUGUAUUCCGCUCAGAUAUGUUCAUUGAAUGUUGGAAACAAGGAAUCCUCUUAUAUUGAAUCUUCAAAAUGUUGCACUUUGUUUU
Long non-coding RNA from Populus nigra (black poplar), 595 nucleotides. RefSeq lists it as uncharacterized. The transcript is spliced from 2 exons. NCBI's taxonomy places the organism in Eukaryota, Viridiplantae, Streptophyta, Magnoliopsida, Malpighiales, Salicaceae. The record is from RefSeq and is a predicted model, not a curated record.